GGGUUGUGAGGUUAAGCGACUAAGCGUACACGGUGGAUGCCCUGGCAGUCAGAGGCGAUGAAGGACGUGCUAAUCUGCGAUAAGCGUCGGUAAGGUGAUAUGAACCGUUAUAACCGGCGAUUUCCGAAUGGGGAAACCCAGUGUGUUUCGACACACUAUCAUUAACUGAAUCCAUAGGUUAAUGAGGCGAACCGGGGGAACUGAAACAUCUAAGUACCCCGAGGAAAAGAAAUCAACCGAGAUUCCCCCAGUAGCGGCGAGCGAACGGGGAGCAGCCCAGAGCCUGAAUCAGUGUGUGUGUUAGUGGAAGCGUCUGGAAAGGCGCGCGAUACAGGGUGACAGCCCCGUACACAAAAAUGCACAUAUUGUGAGCUCGAUGAGUAGGGCGGGACACGUGGUAUCCUGUCUGAAUAUGGGGGGACCAUCCUCCAAGGCUAAAUACUCCUGACUGACCGAUAGUGAACCAGUACCGUGAGGGAAAGGCGAAAAGAACCCCGGCGAGGGGAGUGAAAAAGAACCUGAAACCGUGUACGUACAAGCAGUGGGAGCACGCUUAGGCGUGUGACUGCGUACCUUUUGUAUAAUGGGUCAGCGACUUAUAUUCUGUAGCAAGGUUAACCGAAUAGGGGAGCCGAAGGGAAACCGAGUCUUAACUGGGCGUUAAGUUGCAGGGUAUAGACCCGAAACCCGGUGAUCUAGCCAUGGGCAGGUUGAAGGUUGGGUAACACUAACUGGAGGACCGAACCGACUAAUGUUGAAAAAUUAGCGGAUGACUUGUGGCUGGGGGUGAAAGGCCAAUCAAACCGGGAGAUAGCUGGUUCUCCCCGAAAGCUAUUUAGGUAGCGCCUCGUGAAUUCAUCUCCGGGGGUAGAGCACUGUUUCGGCAAGGGGGUCAUCCCGACUUACCAACCCGAUGCAAACUGCGAAUACCGGAGAAUGUUAUCACGGGAGACACACGGCGGGUGCUAACGUCCGUCGUGAAGAGGGAAACAACCCAGACCGCCAGCUAAGGUCCCAAAGUCAUGGUUAAGUGGGAAACGAUGUGGGAAGGCCCAGACAGCCAGGAUGUUGGCUUAGAAGCAGCCAUCAUUUAAAGAAAGCGUAAUAGCUCACUGGUCGAGUCGGCCUGCGCGGAAGAUGUAACGGGGCUAAACCAUGCACCGAAGCUGCGGCAGCGACGCUUAUGCGUUGUUGGGUAGGGGAGCGUUCUGUAAGCCUGCGAAGGUGUGCUGUGAGGCAUGCUGGAGGUAUCAGAAGUGCGAAUGCUGACAUAAGUAACGAUAAAGCGGGUGAAAAGCCCGCUCGCCGGAAGACCAAGGGUUCCUGUCCAACGUUAAUCGGGGCAGGGUGAGUCGACCCCUAAGGCGAGGCCGAAAGGCGUAGUCGAUGGGAAACAGGUUAAUAUUCCUGUACUUGGUGUUACUGCGAAGGGGGGACGGAGAAGGCUAUGUUGGCCGGGCGACGGUUGUCCCGGUUUAAGCGUGUAGGCUGGUUUUCCAGGCAAAUCCGGAAAAUCAAGGCUGAGGCGUGAUGACGAGGCACUACGGUGCUGAAGCAACAAAUGCCCUGCUUCCAGGAAAAGCCUCUAAGCAUCAGGUAACAUCAAAUCGUACCCCAAACCGACACAGGUGGUCAGGUAGAGAAUACCAAGGCGCUUGAGAGAACUCGGGUGAAGGAACUAGGCAAAAUGGUGCCGUAACUUCGGGAGAAGGCACGCUGAUAUGUAGGUGAAGUCCCUCGCGGAUGGAGCUGAAAUCAGUCGAAGAUACCAGCUGGCUGCAACUGUUUAUUAAAAACACAGCACUGUGCAAACACGAAAGUGGACGUAUACGGUGUGACGCCUGCCCGGUGCCGGAAGGUUAAUUGAUGGGGUCAGCGCAAGCGAAGCUCUUGAUCGAAGCCCCGGUAAACGGCGGCCGUAACUAUAACGGUCCUAAGGUAGCGAAAUUCCUUGUCGGGUAAGUUCCGACCUGCACGAAUGGCGUAAUGAUGGCUAGGCUGUCUCCACCCGAGACUCAGUGAAAUUGAACUCGCUGUGAAGAUGCAGUGUACCCGCGGCAAGACGGAAAGACCCCGUGAACCUUUACUAUAGCUUGACACUGAACAUUGAGCCUUGAUGUGUAGGAUAGGUGGGAGGCUUUGAAGUGUGGACGCCAGUCUGCAUGGAGCCGACCUUGAAAUACCACCCUUUAAUGUUUGAUGUUCUAACGUUGACCCGUAAUCCGGGUUGCGGACAGUGUCUGGUGGGUAGUUUGACUGGGGCGGUCUCCUCCUAAAGAGUAACGGAGGAGCACGAAGGUUGGCUAAUCCUGGUCGGACAUCAGGAGGUUAGUGCAAUGGCAUAAGCCAGCUUGACUGCGAGCGUGACGGCGCGAGCAGGUGCGAAAGCAGGUCAUAGUGAUCCGGUGGUUCUGAAUGGAAGGGCCAUCGCUCAACGGAUAAAAGGUACUCCGGGGAUAACAGGCUGAUACCGCCCAAGAGUUCAUAUCGACGGCGGUGUUUGGCACCUCGAUGUCGGCUCAUCACAUCCUGGGGCUGAAGUAGGUCCCAAGGGUAUGGCUGUUCGCCAUUUAAAGUGGUACGCGAGCUGGGUUUAGAACGUCGUGAGACAGUUCGGUCCCUAUCUGCCGUGGGCGCUGGAGAACUGAGGGGGGCUGCUCCUAGUACGAGAGGACCGGAGUGGACGCAUCACUGGUGUUCGGGUUGUCAUGCCAAUGGCACUGCCCGGUAGCUAAAUGCGGAAGAGAUAAGUGCUGAAAGCAUCUAAGCACGAAACUUGCCCCGAGAUGAGUUCUCCCUGACUCCUUGAGAGUCCUGAAGGAACGUUGAAGACGACGACGUUGAUAGGCCGGGUGUGUAAGCGCAGCGAUGCGUUGAGCUAACCGGUACUAAUGAACCGUGAGGCUUAACCUUACAACGCCGAAGCUGUU
Molecule: ribosomal RNA, 2930 nt
Filed under: Escherichia coli
Lineage: Bacteria; Pseudomonadati; Pseudomonadota; Gammaproteobacteria; Enterobacterales; Enterobacteriaceae
Description: bacterial LSU rRNA
Rfam family: Bacterial large subunit ribosomal RNA
Source: RNAcentral